UAACGGCGAGUGAAGCGGCAACAGCUCAAAUUUGAAAUCUGGCCCCCCCGCGGGGGUCCGAGUUGUAAUUUGCAGAGGGUGCUUUGGCGUUGGCUGUGGUCUAAGUUCCUUGGAACAGGACGUCGCAGAGGGUGAGAAUCCCGUAUGUGGCCGCCAGUCUUCGCCGUGUAAAGCCCCUUCGACGAGUCGAGUUGUUUGGGAAUGCAGCUCUAAAUGGGAGGUAAAUUUCUUCUAAAGCUAAAUAUCUGCCAGAGACCGAUAGCGCACAAGUAGAGUGAUCGAAAGAUGAAAAGCACUUUGGAAAGAGAGUCAAAAAGCACGUGAAAUUGUUGAAAGGGAAGCGCUUGCAGUCAGACGUGCCUCUAGUUGCUCAGCCGGGCCUUCGGGCCCGGUGCACUCUUCUAUUGGCAGGCCAGCAUCAGUCUGGGCGGUCGGAUAAAGGCCCAUUAAACGUGACUCCCUCCGGGGAGAGCUUAUAGGGUGGGCGACAUGCGACCAGCCCGGACUGAGGUCCGCGCAUCUGCUAGGAUGCUGGCUUAAUAACUGUAAGCGGCCCGUCUUGAAACACGGACCAAGGAGUCUAACAUCUAUGCGAGUGUUUGGGUGUCAAGCCCGGACGCGUAAUGAAAGUGAACGGAGGUGGGAUCCCUUCGGGGUGCACCAUCGACCGAUCCUGAUGUCUUCGGAUGGAUUUGAGUAAGAGCAUAGCUGUUGGGACCCGAAAGAUGGUGAACUAUGCCUGAAUAGGGUGAAGCCAGAGGAAACUCUGGUGGAGGCUCGCAGCGGUUCUGACGUGCAAAUCGAUCGUCAAAUUUGGGCAUA
This 822-nucleotide ribosomal RNA is filed under the name Neovaginatispora sp. FW-2023a. RNAcentral describes it as "partial large subunit ribosomal RNA". It matches the Rfam family "Eukaryotic large subunit ribosomal RNA", at positions 84 to 919 of the family's 3401-position model. Lineage: Eukaryota; Fungi; Ascomycota; Dothideomycetes; Pleosporales; Lophiostomataceae. The record is from RNAcentral.